RNAcentral lists this ribosomal RNA (21 nucleotides) under Ourisia caespitosa. RNAcentral's name for it is "partial 26S ribosomal RNA". Lineage: Eukaryota; Viridiplantae; Streptophyta; Magnoliopsida; Lamiales; Plantaginaceae. The record is from RNAcentral.
CGACCGAGACCCCAUGUCAGG